Molecule: ribosomal RNA, 253 nt
Filed under: uncultured bacterium
Lineage: Bacteria
Description: partial 16S ribosomal RNA
Rfam family: Bacterial small subunit ribosomal RNA
Source: RNAcentral
UACGGGGGGGGCAAGCGUUGUUCGGAAUUACUGGGCGUAAAGGGCUCGUAGGCGGCCAACUAAGUCAUACGUGAAAUCCCUCGGCUUAACCGGGGAACUGCGUCUGAUACUGGAUGGCUUGAGUUCGGGAGAGGGAUGCGGAAUUCCAGGUGUAGCGGUGAAAUGCGUAGGUAUCUGGAGGAACACCGGUGGCGAAGGCGGCAUCCUGGACCGAUACUGACGCUGAGGAGCGAAAGCCAGGGGAGCAAACGGG